This 484-nucleotide ribosomal RNA is filed under the name uncultured bacterium. Its description in RNAcentral is "partial 16S ribosomal RNA". It matches the Rfam family "Bacterial small subunit ribosomal RNA", at positions 29 to 507 of the family's 1533-position model. The record is from RNAcentral.
AUUGAACGCUGGCGGCAUGCUUUACACAUGCAAGUCGAACGGCAGCGCGGGCUUCGGCCUGGCGGCGAGUGGAGAACGGGUGAGUAAUGCAUCGGAACGUGCCCAGUAGUGGGGGAUAGCCCGGCGAAAGCCGGAUUAAUACCGCAUACGACCUGAGGGUGAAAGCGGGGGACCGAAAGGCCUCGCGCUAUUGGAGCGGCCGAUGUCGGAUUAGCUAGUUGGUGGGGUAAAGGCUUACCAAGGCGACGAUCCGUAGCUGGUCUGAGAGGACGACCAGCCACACUGGGACUGAGACACGGCCCAGACUCCUACGGGAGGCAGCAGUGGGGAAUUUUGGACAAUGGGGGCAACCCUGAUCCAGCCAUGCCGCGUGCGGGAAGAAGGCCUUCGGGUUGUAAACCGCUUUUGUUCGGGAAGAAAUCCUCUGGGCUAAUACCCCGGGGGGAUGACGGUACCGGAAGAAUAAGCACCGGCUAACUACGUG